RNA transcript from Leptopilina boulardi, 1493 nucleotides. It is a transcript of the gene named ubiquitin-fold modifier 1, with no coding region annotated. The transcript has 4 exons. Lineage: Eukaryota; Metazoa; Arthropoda; Insecta; Hymenoptera; Figitidae. The record is from RefSeq and is a predicted model, not a curated record.
AUCGAGGUUAACUUUGUUCUGUAUUCUUGUUAAAAGAAAACAAGUUUAUUCAAUUUGAACAAUUAUUUACCAUUUUGUUAGUAAAUCAUGGCAUCAAAAGUCACUUUUAAAAUUACUUUGACGUCCGAUCCUAAAUUGCCAUUUAAAGUGUAAGUUGGAUUUUUACACGUUUAAUAUUGUAAUUAAUUGUUAACUGAAUUAAAAUUUGGAACAAAAAUUCUAAUUAAUCAUGAGUGAUUCUGAAUUUGAUCAAGUUGUGACAGUAUUUAUGGCAUACAAGCAAAUACUUGAAAAGCCCUAUUUAGCUGAAAGUAUGGAAGAAAAAGACUUAAAUAAAGCUUAUGAUUAUUGUACAUUUAUUGAAAGCUUUAUAUCAAAUGUUCAUGAACAAAAAAAAGAAGUAGAUUUUGAAAAAUAUUUAAAUUACCGACUAUCCACUACAUACGAGUGUUCAGAUUUUGAGAAAGCUUGUGACAAAAUGCUUGAAAUCUUUAUGAAAGAUUCUCGUAUUUCAACAAAAAAAAUUGAUUUAUUAUUUAACAUCUAUAUCCGUCGUUUUGGACAGGAAAGAUUUAAAAAAUUUCUCAACACUACUAUAAAAGAUGCAAUGUGUUUUAAUUUAAUUCUAAAUUCUUUAGUGGAACAACAAAUUCCCAUUUCAGAAUUACACGACGAAGCAAUUUUUUUCACUUGGGACAAACAAAUUUGUAAUGGAAAAUUAAUUGAGGUUACUGAAUAUAUAGAUAAUAUGUUAGACGAUCAUCAAAUUUUAAAACUCGUUAAUGCCAUUUUAAACAUUAAAAUGAAAUCAAAAACAAAGAAAUUAAUUAUGGAAAGAUUUACAUUGAGAGCCUUUGAGAAUAAUGUCAAAUUUUUUCAAGAAAUUAUAAAAAUUCAUUCACAAUCACUUAUUCAAAUUCUCAGCGAGAAUUCCAAAUUUUGUGACAAUUUUUUAGAUACUGUCUUUUAUUUUGGACGUUCUAUGAUUUAUAAGGACGGUUAUUGGAUUUCUGAGGAAGGUAUUCAGUAUGAAGAUAUUGCGCAAAUUUUUCGAACCCUUUUAACGGAAUCAAAUGACAUUAGCUGUCGGACACAAAGACAAUUAAAUAUUGCUAAGGAAAUGGAGGACGGAGAUUUUUGGGAGGAAAUUGAAAGAGACUGUAUUCGUUUAUAUAGUACUGAGCGUGCCAGAAAAUACACCUUUCACAGCGGUGUUAAAGUUUGCUGCUGAGGAGUUCAAAGUAACCCCAGCUACGUCAGCAAUAAUAACUGACGAUGGUGUGGGAAUUAAUCCACAGCAAACAGCGGGAAACAUCUUUUUGAAGCAUGGCUCAGAACUUAGAUUAAUACCCAGAGAUCGUGUUGGUGGAAUUAGUUGACUAUAGAAAUUAUUUAAAUAAUUAUAAUAAAUAAAUGAAAUAAUUUUAUUUUAAUAUUCCAUUAAAUUUAUUAUUUACUAAAAACUUAAAAUAAAUAUCUAUUCAUUUUUUAAA